This 253-nucleotide ribosomal RNA is filed under the name uncultured bacterium. RNAcentral describes it as "partial 16S ribosomal RNA". It matches the Rfam family "Archaeal small subunit ribosomal RNA", at positions 474 to 727 of the family's 1478-position model. The record is from RNAcentral.
UACCAGCACCCCGAGUGGUCGGGACGAUUAUUGGGCCUAAAGCAUCCGUAGCCGGUUCUACAAGUCUUCCGUUAAAUCCACCUGCUUAACAGAUGGGCUGCAGAGGAUACUAUGGAGCUAGGAGGCGGGAGAGGCAAGCGGUACUUAGUGGGUAGGGGUAAAAUCCGUUGAUCCAUUGAAGACCACCAGUGGCGAAGGCGGCUUGCCAGAACGCACUCGACGGUGAGGGAUGAAAGCUGGGGGAGCAAACCGG